AAUUUAAACUCUUCUCCAGAGUAUCAAUUGGAGGGCAAGUCUGGUGCCAGCAGCCGCGGUAAUUCCAGCUCCAAUAGCGUAUAUUAAAAUUGUUGCAGUUAAAAAGCUCGUAGUUGAAUUUCUGCUACAUUGCCUAUUCUCCUUUACGAGUUUGGGUCUUUUGUGGCUUAUCUGGGUUCGCUUGCGUUCCCGGUGUUUUACUUUGAGAAAAUUAGAGUGCUCAAAGCAGGCUUUUGCCUUGAAUAGUUUAGCAUGGAAUAAUAAAGUAGGACUUUGGUUCUAUUUUGUUGGUUUUAGGUACCAAAGUAAUGGUUAAUAGGAACAGUUGGGGGCAUUCGUAUUUAACUGUCAGAGGUGAAAUUCUUAGAUUUGUUAAAGACGAACUACUGCGAAAGCAUUUGCCAAGGAUGUUUUCAUUAAUCAAGAACGAAAGUUAGGGGAUCGAAGACGAUCAGAUACCGUCGUAGUCCUAACCAUAAACUAUGCCGACUAGAGAUUGGAGGUCGUCAGUUUUUACGACUCCUUCAGCACCUGAGAGAAAUCAAAG
This 547-nucleotide ribosomal RNA is filed under the name Theileria velifera. RNAcentral describes it as "SSU rRNA". It matches the Rfam family "Eukaryotic small subunit ribosomal RNA", at positions 522 to 1103 of the family's 1831-position model. Lineage: Eukaryota; Apicomplexa; Aconoidasida; Piroplasmida; Theileriidae. The record is from RNAcentral.